RNAcentral lists this ribosomal RNA (468 nucleotides) under uncultured bacterium. RNAcentral describes it as "partial 16S ribosomal RNA". It matches the Rfam family "Bacterial small subunit ribosomal RNA", at positions 28 to 507 of the family's 1533-position model. The record is from RNAcentral.
GACGAACGCUGGCGGCGUGCUUAACACAUGCAAGUCGAACGGAAAGGCCCUGCUUUUGUGGGGUGCUCGAGUGGCGAACGGGUGAGUAACACGUGAGUAACCUGCCCUUGACUUUGGGAUAACUUCAGGAAACUGGGGAUAAUACCGGAUAGGAGCUCCUGCUGCAUGGUGGGGGUUGGAAAGUUUCGGCGGUUGGGGAUGGACUCGCGGCUUAUCAGCUUGUUGGUGGGGUAGUGGCUUACCAAGGCUUUGACGGGUAGCCGGCCUGGGAGGGUGACCGCCCACAUUGGGACUGAGAUACGGCCCAGACUCCUACGGGAGGCAGCAGUGGGGAAUAUUGCACAAUGGGCGGAAGCCUGAUGCAGCAACGCCGCGUGCGGGAUGACGGCCUUCUGGUUGUAAACCGCUUUCGCCUGUGACGAAGCGUGAGUGACGGUAAUGGGUAAAGAAGCACCGGCUAACUACGUG